UACGGAAGGCAGCAGUGGGGAAUAUUGCACAAUGGGCGCAAGCCUGAUGCAGCCAUGCCGCGUGUAUGAAGAAGGCCUUCGGGUUGUAAAGUACUUUCAGCGGGGAGGAAGGCGAUGCGGUUAAUAACCGCGUCGAUUGACGUUACCCGCAGAAGAAGCACCGGCUAACUCCGUGCCAGCAGCCGCGGUAAUACGGAGGGUGCAAGCGUUAAUCGGAAUUACUGGGCGUAAAGCGCACGCAGGCGGUCUGUUAAGUCAGAUGUGAAAUCCCCGGGCUUAACCUGGGAACUGCAUUUUGAAACUGGCAGGCUUGAGUCUUGUAGAGGGGGUAGAAUUCCAGGUGUAGCGGUGAAAUGCGUAGAGAUCUGGAGGAAUACCGGUGGCGAAGGCGGCCCCUGGGACAAAGCUGACGCUCAGGUGCGAAAGCGUGGGGAGCAAACAGGAUUAGAUACC
This 453-nucleotide ribosomal RNA is filed under the name uncultured bacterium. RNAcentral's name for it is "bacterial SSU rRNA". It matches the Rfam family "Bacterial small subunit ribosomal RNA", at positions 340 to 786 of the family's 1533-position model. The record is from RNAcentral.